AUAUAAAGUAGCAGAUUGUGAAGAUCGGUGUUCAAAAAUUCAUCAUGAAAUUUUUGAAUUUAUUUCAUAAAUUCAUAGGAAAUUGAGUCAAGAAGACGACCUAGGGCUGCCGGAGUGAAUCUCAAUCGGAAAUAUGGUGAAAAACGGAAAAGACUUGAGGUUGGUUUGAAUUUGGGCAGUUUCGAGUAAACAGAGGCUAUAUGGGAAUUCAAUUAAAGCAGAGUAGGGGUAGUUUUGGUAGCUUAUUUUGAAGUAUUCGAGGAACUUUAAAGCUGAAAAUCCUCAGUUCUAUACCCGUGGAGAAUUUGAAGAAUUUCUCUCAAACCUGUUGAUCAAUUGGGAUAUUUUCUUCCUAAAGCUUGAAGAUAAUCGAAUAAGAAGAACUUCGAGGGCUGCUUAAGGGGAACGAAUUUGGAAAAGCCAUCAAUUUUGAGGAAAUCAGUGGAUUUGCACAAAAUUUCGUAGAAAUAGAGUAGUCGGGAUUUAAUCGAAAUUUUUAGCUAUCCAAGGUAAUUCGUGAACUCUAACUUAUUGGGUAAUUUAGUUUAGAGGUAGUUAAUUAGUUCUGUAGAAUAAAUUUGAGUGUUUUUGGGUUGGAUUGGGUGAAAUCGAAGCUUAAAAUCUUGAAAGUAGCUGUAGGAAAACAGAACAACUCUCAGAAAGUUGGUGGUCUUCGAAGAAGAUGAUGUGUGCAUCUUUUUCCCGUCAUCAAAAUCCUUUUUGAGAUUUAAUGUCAUUUGAAUAAUUUGGAGCAAUUUGUUUAAGAAAUCUAUGCACUUAAGGGAGAUUUAAGGGUUUUUAUUAUUAUUAUUAUUUGUUUGAAUAAUUUAAAGGCUAAGGAUGCUUAAACCCUAAAAUUUGGCCAUUUUGGGGAUUAUUUGGGGGUUAAGGGAAUUAUGGUUAAAUGAUAGUUGUUUAUGCAGUGUUUGGACUGGAUAACCAUAAGUUAAUAAUGUGAUUUUUAGGCCAUGUUCAAUUAGGAGAGGCUUAUAAAUCCGAAGGAUCGAUCCAAAAAUUGUGAGUGACAAAACUAAGUGUUUUCAAAUGUUUUAGCAAGCACAUGACUAUUUAAAAGUUUAGAAUCAUGUUUGCCUCAUUUUAUUGUAUUCUUAAGUAGUUUCCAAGCAAACUAAUCUUUCAAAGCACGUGUUUUAUGCUAUUCAUGCUUUCAAGUAUACAUGUUUUACUGUAUGAUUAUUUAUGAUGAUUAUGUUAAAUCCGAUACUGAAGGACUUGAGAAGGUAUCUGGGUAGUAGUACCUAAGGUAUGACGAUACCUAGUUAUUACCACACGUAUGUUGGUAGAGUUGACUUUGGUAGUGUUGAGAUUAAACCAUGCCAACUAAGGAUUGACGUUGAGGAAUUGAGCAAAAGGGUUCUCUCUCAACUAAGGAUUACGUUAGUUAUGUUUUUUAGAGAUACUAUGUUUUAAAAUGUUUUAAGUAUGAGUUUGCUUGCAAGUUUUAGUUACAAGCAUGAUGAAUAUGUUUUAUUAGUCACUCAUUGGGUGAGUAACUCAUUCUUUCAAAUGUUUUCCAUUUCCCAAGUAGUGGUCAUCUUCCCAGAGGUUAGCUGCCCUAUUGUUCUGCCACUCAAGGACUUAAGCUAACAGUUUAAAGUCUAAAUAGAAGUUUUAGGUGUUUAUUUUGUAAAUAUUUGUUCAUAUGUGUUGCUUAUAUUAGGGAUAUGAAGUAUG
Benincasa hispida (wax gourd) is the source of this 1695-nucleotide non-coding RNA. Lineage: Eukaryota; Viridiplantae; Streptophyta; Magnoliopsida; Cucurbitales; Cucurbitaceae. The record is from RefSeq and is a predicted model, not a curated record.